UUAAAUUUGUAUUUAUGUAGAGAUGGGAUCUCACUAUGUUACCCAGAUUUGUGUAAAAUAUUUAAUAGAGAAAAUACCAUGGACACAUACUGAGAUAGAAGUUUGAAUACUAGAGCACCACUCUCUAUAGUUUCAAAGCAAGUGUGUUAGUUUGAUAUUCAAAUAAUAAUCAUUGUACACAGUAUACUAUGGCCCAUUGAAGUAAAAGAAACUAGUAAAACUUGAGGAAAAUUGGCAGAGUUGAUAAUUAUGUCCGUGUUAUAUUUUUGUUUAUUCACAAAUUAGUUGCUUAAUAUGAAUUUGAUGAUUCAUGGUGCCCAGAUAUGUGGGACUGACAUAUAGUUGGAUUAACUAAUUGAUUAGUUAAUUCACUUCAUAAAUCUCUAGCCCUUGAGCCAAUUUCAUUUGACAGAACAAUUAUAUAAUAAGUUUGUGUUUCUCUAACUGGGAUCCUUUUUUGUUGAAUUAAUUGAAAUAUAUGGGUUCAUUGACUGUGCUUCAGCACUGUAGUUUGAAUAUCAGUGGCCAGUUCUCUUGAUCAGAAGCCAUAUUUAAUAGACCAGAAUUUGUAAAACAUUUGGCACAUAUUCAUGCAAACAAUAUAUAACCAAAUCAUACAUAAAAUGUUUUAGAUUGUUUUCUUAUUUAUUUUUGAACUGACAUACACCCAACCUAUAAAGAAAUGUUUCAAAGAAAAUGUAAAGCCACAGCAAAAAUAUGACUUAGCUUUUCAAAACAUCAGUUAGCUUGAAUAUAUUAAGGAAGAACUUUUUAUAACUUAAUGUCAAUUAAUAAUGUAAAAGAAACAAUAAGGUUUAAAGAUAAGUAUUUCUAAAAUAUAGACGAAACUUAUCAAUGGAUGCUGAAAUGAAUGAGUAAAAGUUUGAUGCAUAAUAACAUAUACAUAUUUAUCAAGUAUCACUCCCCAAAUAAAGUUGGUUACACUGAGGAGAAAGAGUAGCUCUACAGUGAAGAACACUGACAUAAGCAAUCUAAUUCAAAUAAUCAAAGUUACUAUCUAAUAAUGAGGCAAACCAAUGUCAAAGCCUUCUUAAUAUAAUACAAGGGACAGAAUAUAGCAUCACUUCUGUCAUAUGCUUGCCAAAAAAUACAUAACUGUAAUGUAAUCCUGAGGAAAUGCCAGACUGCUCCACACUGGGGAACAUUUUGCAAAAUAAUGUCUUAUGCUAUUCCAAAAAUAUUAAGGUAAGUAAAGUCAAUGAAAGACUGAAUUUUUGCAGAUUAAAAGAGAUUAAAGAGACAUGAGACUGAAGGCAAUAUAGGGUUCUUGAAUACAGGGUUUAUUCUAGUUGUUUUUUUUUUUUUUUUCUCUUAAGGACAUUAAUGGGACCAUUGGAAAAUAUGAAAAAAGGAAACUCUCUGAUACACCUUGUCUGAUUGUAGGUCAUAAGAACCUCAUUUCAGAAGAGGUCCUGCCCCAUACCCAGAGGAAGAGAUGCUGCACAGAGAAGUAAAGAAGUAUUGAACAGAGAGGCUUUGCUGGAUUUCCCAACUGAGUCUAUUAGUAUUAGAUCAUACUCUUUUUGUUUAAUCACAUUUCUUCUCAGUUGUCAAUCGUGCUUAUCUAAUGACUUUUGGCUUCCAUCAGAAGCCAAACAUGACAGGAUUCAAAGGACUUCUUGAGAGCUGAACGUGUGAAGGUUGCUAGAGGGUGAGGCCUUGGGGAGGGCGUAGAAGCUCCUCAGUGGACCCUUCUCACAUGCCCUGCCUUAUGUAUCUCUUCAUCUUUAUCUUUUGUAAUAUUCUUUGUAAUAAACUGGUAAAUGU
Molecule: long non-coding RNA, 1788 nt
Organism: Sapajus apella (tufted capuchin)
Lineage: Eukaryota; Metazoa; Chordata; Mammalia; Primates; Cebidae
Exons: 2
Source: RefSeq, a predicted model, not a curated record